This 295-nucleotide signal recognition particle RNA is filed under the name Aotus nancymaae (Ma's night monkey). RNAcentral describes it as "Metazoan signal recognition particle RNA (ENSANAG00000006262.1)". It matches the Rfam family "Metazoan signal recognition particle RNA". From Rfam's summary of the family: The signal recognition particle (SRP) is a universally conserved ribonucleoprotein. Lineage: Eukaryota; Metazoa; Chordata; Mammalia; Primates; Aotidae. The record is from RNAcentral.
GCUGGGCGCGGUGGUGUGUGCCUGUAGUCCCAGCUACUCGGGAGGCUAAGGCUGGAGGAUCGCUUGAGCCCAGGAGUUCUGGGCUGUAGUGCACUAUACCGAUCGGGUGUCCGCACGAAGUUCGGCAUCAAUACGGUGACCUCCCGGGAGCGGGGGACCGCCAGGUUGCCUAAGGAGGGCUGAACUGGCCCAGGUCGGAAACGGAGCAGGUCAAAACUCUGUGAUCAGUAGUGGGAUCGCGCCUGUGAAUAGCCACUGCAUUUCAGCCUGGGCAACAUAGCGAGACCCCAUCUCU